Long non-coding RNA from Aedes albopictus (Asian tiger mosquito), 10110 nucleotides. RefSeq lists it as uncharacterized. NCBI's taxonomy places the organism in Eukaryota, Metazoa, Arthropoda, Insecta, Diptera, Culicidae. The record is from RefSeq and is a predicted model, not a curated record. The transcript has 2 exons.
UACGUCUUUGUAUAGAAUACCUGAAUACAAGCUUGGUGCAUCAGUAGGUCGGCUCCAGAGGCACGUUCUCCUCCAUUUGGGAAGCUUGGUGCAUGGUUGAGACCGGAACAUAUAACUACUUUUUUAAAAAUACAGACACGGACACCGUCAUGUGGGAAAGUUGCCAUGUAAGGACUGCUCAGUUUAUAAAACGGACAACUUGUUUAUGCGAUAUACCUAUUAUAUAAUGCAAUCGUUAUCAGUCUUUUGCAUAGCUUUCAAUAGCUAUUCUACAAUGUAGAAAAAAAUAUAAAUUCAUAGAAAACGUCCUUUAUUGUGUAGGGGUAGGCGGGGCAAUAUGGACACCCUCAAUAUUUUGAAAUAUGCGAACUUUUUUGAACUUUUAAUGAAUGGAGAAUAUAGUCCAUUUGUCUAAAACAUAGCUUCAGGAAAGAAACAUUCGAAAUUAAAAUUAUACUUGAUUUUACACGAAAAAGUUGCGUCCUCCGUUUUUUGUGCAUGGAAAUUAUAAUUUUCACACCAUCUAAAAUAAGAUUUAGUGAUUAAUUUAUUGCAGGUCGAUUAAAACCUGAUAUUUCUAGAACACAUGCAAGUAGUUUUGCUGUAUCUACAUGCUUAACAUGUUUAUAUUUUCUUCUUUAUUAUAUCAAAAAUCAAGUUUGGAAAUAUCUUCUGCUGCUGGGGCAAAAUGGACACUCACCUUUUUGAAAGAAGCGGCAAGGGAAAAAUAUAACCUAAAUCACAAACCAACCAAAUUCUUCGAUUUCAGUAUAUUUUCGGUUAACUGUUCACUAUAGUAGACAUAGGGUGAAACAAAUUGGUCAAAAAACGACAGCAGUGGUAAAUAGUUGUUCUAGGCACAGCUGUACAUGCCAACAAAAACGAAGGUUUAUCCAAAACAGCCUGAAUUUAAAUUAACUGAACAAAAAUGAACUACUUCGGCGUAUUAUUCUGCUAUUCUGCUAUUAUCAACGCAUCCCCUGGCUUUCGCCCAUCUGCGUUGUCUUUUCACUAGGCAAUAGUCUACCAAUUGAUGUUUAUGGGCUUGCCGGACCAAGUCAUGUAGCUAAGCCAAACACCCCACCUACAACUGUUGGGUAGGCACCAUUGUCCCGCCCACUGGUCUUUUACAGCUAGUUGUAGGUGCAUGUGUGCGUGUAAGUAUUGGUGUAUGUGUGUUAGUGUUGGUUUAUUGUAGGCGCCAACUCGUUCUAAUCCACUCUGAUUGCUAACACCCUAUUGAACCAUUACCCUUAAAUCUGGCAAUCUAUGAAAUAGAAUGAGUAAAGCGCCUGUACAUAACAGUCAGUUAAAUCAAACAAGGAAUAUUAUGUCGAAUUCGUUUUUGAACCUGGGUUGGAACUGGACUGGCGGAAAAUGUGUAAACAAACAAACGUCAAACAAAUUCAAACAAACUUUAGUACAAGCGAAACCGAAGUCGGGUUGGGGUUGAAACUGUGAUCUCAUCCAGUUCCAACCCAGGUUGGAACUGAAUCAAAAACGAAUUCGACAUUAGUAUUAAAGCUAAGAUACAACGCAGCAACGCCCCGAAUCUCGAGAGCACAAACCCCAAGAACCAAAUGACAGGCAGCGCCGACAAGUCAAUCAACUGGCCACCACCAGUGAUUAACCAAUCGAGCAAACCCUUCAGCACAAACCGCCAUCAGCUCUCCCGACCUGCGCCCAACAAAUCCGAGGCACAGCCCAGCCAUAGCUUCAUCUUAAAACCAAAAUCUAGAUUGCAGAGCACAAUACUUCCUAAGUAACCGCGCAGCUCGGGCCGCAAAUCCCACACAACACGUCACAAAUAAGCCAAACACCCGUCCGUACAACCGAAACCGAUCUAGGGUAGAGAAGGGUCUCUUUCCACUCCAACCCGGACUCAACUGCACCCAUUGGGUAGCGCACCCCACACACACUGCACUCAUGCAUCCAUCACGACCCGAGCCACAUGGUCACCUGGGUUGCUUCUAUCUGCAUGACCUCACCCAACCCGUAACGCAGAGUUUAAAUCCCUCUCUUGCAUUACAAAGCAGUCCCUCCUCCCAAAGUUUGUGCGUGGAAUAAAUGAAAUUCUAAAGCUGAAGAAAUCGUCACCAACACAACCGUCAACAAUGAGCACGCAAUGGUAUCGGCAGAAUCAAUGACGACCCCCUCAGUCCCAAACCCAAUUAUCCUACACUACCCAAGUAACCAUAAUGCUGAGCCGUAGGAGCCGUACGCACUGCACGUACGAAGUACAUACAGACCUACCCGCACCGCCUAAACAAACCACCUAGGCCGAACACAAGCGAAAAGCGGUACCACCACUGCUGAACCACGACUAUACCAGUAAGUAGGUAUAAUCGCAAUUAAGCAAUCGUAGAUCCAUUCCCCGCUCCUACUCAGCCAUAACGAUCCAUAGCAAUGCUUGUCAAUAUAUGCACCCCACACACGCAACCCCCACAACAUAACAGUAUGGUCACUUGAGUAUCCCUGGGAUUUUGAUUACAUGAUGGUCAGGGAUCACAGCCAUCAAAACGUUCCACACUUUACCAGGGCUUGCGACCUGUAACCAUCAUGAUUUCCGCUAUGAGAAACCAUGAUGGCUAGCGGUGUUAUGAACUACUUCGGCGUAUUAUUCAUCCAUAAUAGUUAUUUUGUAAUGGAAUGACUUUAUAGGUGUAAAUAAUGUACGAAAUUUGUAAAAGUCUCAUGGUGUCCAUAUUGCCCCAUGGGGGUGUCCAUUCUGCCCCGUAUGCUUGAAGACGGUCAUGAAAAACUUACAUUUUUUGAAGUGGAUAAAUCAUUUUUCUUCGUCAGCAUUUUUAUGCAAUAGAUGCUAAAUAGACUUUAAAAGGAUACAUGUAUCAAAAAACUAAACUUUUUUGACAUCUUGCCAGGUAAAGUUGACAAAAACCUUAGGGUGUCCAUAAUGCCCCGCCUACCCCUAAUUAAAGCGGUUUUCGUUAGAUCGCAAUAAAAACGAUUGCUCAAAAUUCUACUUAAUUUUUCUCAUUACUUAAUUUUUACAUUGUCAUAAUAGUUAUUUAUGUAAAUAACACGUUGCAAAAUGAUGAUUUUUACAGCACGAUUUGUACAUUUAUCCAACGAGGCUUGCCGAGUUACAAGUUUCCAUCAAUAUCAUCGUGCUUCGCGGUGGUUGAAUGGCUCCGGCCACGUGCUCUAUCGUGCAAGACACAAAAAUUUGGAUCAAGCAUGCCGUGCUAUAAUCGUUAGAGUUUUUCAAGCUCUAGCCUUGGAAACUGCGGUCAGACUGAGGUUGUCAAUCAAAUAAUUGCAUUAUGAUCCAUAAUGCAAUCGAAAUUAGUUGCAUUAUGAACCAUAAUGCAAUUGUUUGGUAACGUGCGGAAAAAGUAGGCCGUUACCCCACCGAAAUGGCAAGUAUAAAAUAGAAUAUCAAUGUUUUUGCCGAGUUGCAAAAUAGUUAUUUAUGUAACGAGUUGCAAAAAGUUGAUUUUUUCAGUACGAGUCGUACAUUUAUCCAACGAGGCUUGCCGAGUUGGAUAAAUACGAAGAGUGCUGAAAAAAUCGAGUUUUGCAAUGAGUUCCAUACAAAAUUUUAUGCAAUAAUUUUUUCAUAAUGCAACCCAUUUGAGUUGCAUAAUGUUCAUAAUGCAACUCAAAUGAGUUGCAUUAUGAACAUUAUACAACUAUUUUUCAUUAUGCAACUCAUUUUAGUUGCAUAAUGAACCAGUUCGGAAAAAAUGGCCAUUAUAAUACCAAAAUGAGUUAUAUAAAAUAUAAAUUAUGAUACCGAAUUGCAUAAACUUUUUUAUGCAAUUCAGUUGUAUAAUUUCUAUUUUAUACGAUCCAUUUUAGUAUUAUAAUGACCUACUUUUCUGUAUCGGUUCAUUAUGCAACUGAAAUGAGUUGCAAAAUUAAAAAUAGUUGCAUUAUAUUAUUUAUCCAACUCAUUUGAGUAUAAUGAAAAAAAUCAUUGCAUAAACUUUUGCAUGGAAUAAUGUACGUUGGAUAAAUGUACGACUCGCGCUGAGAAAAUCUACUUUUUGCAACUCGUCGCAUAAACAACUAUAAUGUGUUAGAAUCUAAUACUAUUCUACUGUAGGUCUGACCAAGCAUUAUUCAGUUUGAUAUAGCAAAUUGUCUUGUUUUCAAAGCAAAUGAUAAGAAAUGCUUAUUUAAGUCCAGUGAUGCAAUAACACCACGAAUUCAGCUUAAAAUUAACCCAGUGUAGUAGACAAUGACUUUCUAAAUGAUACCGAAGAAAAACAUGCUUUGAAGUACAUUCUUUGUCAUUAAUUUAUUCCUUAAGGACAAACGUCUUGAAAUCCCGGUUCAACAGUGCAUCAAAACUUCAGACGCACAAAUCUCAAAAAGCAAGCUUCAAACAAUAAUGUAUUUUAUAAUUCUGUUCUUGUUCACUCGUAAUAAGCUUAAAAUACGAAGCUCAGGUGCGCUAGUUUUGUUUACGAAGAAACUUGUGCCCUCAAAAUCGUGAGUAGGUGCCAAAGUCGACCAUUGUGGCGGCCAUAUUGGGAUUCUAAUAAGUCUGUCCUUAAUGAUGGCAAUAGUGUAAAAUUGCUUACUUUUUGCUCCAUUAAUGCAAUGUUUCGACUCUAGAAAAGCUUAUUAUUUAUCUCCAACAUGGCUUGAUUCUAUGUGAUUAUAUGGUAAGUGGGUGCAGGAUGGGUCACCUAAGAAAUGGACCCCUAUAACUGUCUGAAUAUAAAUCGCAUUUCUCUGUAUUCUACCACGACUCUCAGAUACACUAGUCAGCUAUGAUAUAAAAGUAUAGAAAGGUCAUAAAGUUUGAAACCUGCUUUUUGACAAGCAAUUUUCAAAUCAUGACCCAUCUUGCCCCACCUCAUUUUUACUGGGGCAAGAUGGGUCAGCUAUCAGAAAACUCGAGUUUUCUCCAACAAAAAAUACUAUAUCUUCUAUUUUUUCUCUAUACAUCUAAGCUUCACAGACGUAAAGAUUACAUGAAAAAAGUGUUGAAACAUAUCGGUAGAUUAUUCUCAGAACUAGAAGAUUUUUGUUCAGGUAGCCAUGAACGGACUUUGAAAACCUAUAUUUUUUGUAGGAAAAUUUCAAAAAUAGUUUCACAAACUCUCAGUGCUCUAAUUGCUUCGAUAAUGUAGGUCACAGAAUAGCCUUUCAAUGAAGAAUAAAACAUGAGCAUGAGCAUGAGCAUAGAUGACCGUACUAUUCGUAGUUGCUACUCCGUGAUUGACCAGAAGAAUCGAAGUUGCACAAGGAACCAACAGACGGAGCUUGGGAAUAGCUUACCGUCCUCAAUGUGCAUCUUCGAGAAUUCCAAACUUUAUUAGGUCAAUAACGGCGCCGGUCACGUCCUUACGGUCAUCGAGGAAGGAAAGGAAUAUUAUUAUUAUGACGUGCGUUGCUUACUAAAGACCGAGAUCACCUCUGCGUCUCCACGUCUGUCAUGGGAAGGACUUUUUAUUAGUGGGGAGGGGAAAGGGCGCAUGAUAUGAGUUCACUUUGGUAAGUGGAGUGAUUCAUGCAACCCUAUUAAUAUCAAACCACUUAUUUUCAUUUGGACUAAAACAAAACACAUGCCGACAUCGAAGAUGACGAACCAUUCAGAUAGUUUUCGAAGUGCGAAAAUUAACGAAAGAGAAAAUAAAGUGAUUUGAACCAACGUGGCUUUGGAACUUGGGCCGACACUUGACGUGACGAACAUUUCAAUGUCUGUUGACUAAAAUCGCAAAAAAUGUUGUUUGUUGCAUUUAUCGUAUCAUAAAUCGCCCCGUACGAAGAUGAGCAGUCAAAUAGACGACGACGACGACGACGUGCACGCGGACGAUCCGAAUGAAAACGCGGCCUGUACACUUUGCCACCAAAAACUCACUCCCUUUCAAUGAAGAAUAAAACAUUUUCAAAAACUAUGCAAACAUACCGAAAAAUUAUGGUGACCCAUCUUGCCCCGUCUACACAAUACACGUAGUUAUAUGGAAUGUAUAGCAUAAGGAGUAUAACGGAAAAGUAUGUUAUUUUUUUCUGCGCAAGGAACGUAAAGAAUUUUCAAAACAAUAUAUCACUUUUUUGUGUAUCCACUUCAUUCAUCUGGGAAAAUUAUUAAAGAUUCAAAAAAAUAUAUAGUACGGUUGAAAACGGUACUGACCCAUCUUGCCCCCUGACCCAUCUUGCCCCCACAUACCAUACACCUUAAUUGAACAUAACCGCUUGUCAAGCUUUAUUUCCGGCAUCAUUAUGAAAGCAUCACGAAAAAAAAAUACCCUCCCCCUGGAUAUUCGAUCUUGACGCGAUUAGCACUUUAGCGCCAGUUUAUUCACCAUCGCUUGGACUUCAGCUAGAUAUAUCUGGUUUACGAGUUGAUCGCAAGUGAAGGAAUCGGCCGUAAGUUAUGUGAUCAUACCCUUUGCUAGGAUUCGCUGGCGUUAUUAGUUUUAAGUUAGCCUGGGCCCUGUAGCAUAAUCGGGCUAAUAAUAUUAGCUACAAGUUACAAGUACUAAUAUUACAAGUGCUAAUAAUUUGUGUUGCAUAAAGGCUCAAUAGGAUACUGCAAGAUGACGUCACGAAGCCGUGCACUGACAGUUCAGCGAGCUUGUUUACAUGGACUUAGUCUCUGGCGGAGAUCCGGCAAAACUGUUUUUCGAUACAAUUUCAGUGAAACGGUAAUUAGACGAUUGAUUUUGUACUAGUAGAGUUGAAUAUAAUAGAUAUUUCCGUAUCAUAAUGGUUUCGGGACGGAAAACGAAAAUUUAAUUUUCGCCGCUCGUUAAAAAUUCUAACACCUUGUAAACAAGCUCGCUGAACUGUCAGACAAAGUGAGGUUAGAUCAGGUGCUUGCAGUACCCUAUAUUCCACUAAUAUUAUUAGCACUUGUAAAUAUUAUGUCGAAUUCGUUUUUGAUUCAGUUCCAACCUGGGUUGGAACUGGAUGAGAUCACAGUUUCAACCCCAACCCGACUUCGGUUUCGCUUGUACUAAAGUUUGUUUGAGUUUGUUUGACGUUUGUUUGUUUACACAUUUUCCGCCAAUCCAGUUCCAACCCAGGUUCAAAAACGAAUUCGACAUUAGGGCUUGUUCACAAAUGUCAUAACGCUCGAGGGGGUGGGUGGGUGUCCUUCGUGGUGUUACAGCCCGAACAAAUUAUUUUUCUUUCCAUACAAACAGUGUUACGAAGGGGUGGGUGGGUGUCAAAAUAGGUCAAUUUUGGCGUUAUGAUAUUUGUGAAUGAACCCUUAGUGACCAUGAAAAUACAAGUUGUUUUGGUUCAUUUACCUGUCAAAAUUCAUCCGACAGUUUACUAUUAAUUUGAAAUGGCAGUUGAUGUUUGUUUAUAUUCUGCAUUUUCCGCGUAACAUCCGGAAAUAACUUCAUUUAUUCCGAAGUUUUGGAUUCUUUAUACACUGAAAUAAAUUUUGUUGUGAAAACUACCGAUUCCAUAGUAAAAUUACUAACCGUACCUAUGAUUCUCAACCGACAACAAUUUCCAGUUAAUUCCACUAAAACACUGUCAACUGAACUAGCAGUGCAGUUAACAUUACCAAAAAUAAUCUUAAUUUAACAAAUGAGCAUUGUAUUUUUAACCAUACUGUGUUGUAAAAUGCGUGUCCAGGAAAAAUUAACAAUGAUUUGUUGUUAAGACGACUACGCUUUUAGUUGAGUUUACUACAAUGCAUUGUAAUUCCAAGCAUAUUUUAGUUACCUUAACAGUUUUUGUUGUCGGUUGAGAAUCAUAGGUACGGUUAGUAAUUUUACUAUGGAAUCGGUAAUUUCAACAACAAAAUUUAUUUCAGUGUACGAUAGAUGAAGAAAAGCAUGUGCUGUUUGGAUAAUUUUCGGCCGCUCUGACGAUAUAUUUUUUUACAAAGUAUGACACUGCAAGUACCUAGAUUUUUAGUAAAAUGUUCCAAAGAUUUAAUAGUACUGGUUGAAAAACAAUGUAUAAAGAUUUAGCAACAUGUAUUAUGCUUCUUGCUAAAAUCCGUAGUGAUCUUUGAUGCAAAAAAUUGAGCUUUUACCUACUUUUAUAUGUCGCAACUCGAUUCGAGUUAGUGUAUGUAUAUUGUAGCUCUUGGUUCGCUUAAUGAUGCGCAGUACAAGCAAUUGAUUCAAAUUUAUUUCGCAUCUGCAACUUCACCUGUGCUUAUGCAGUGACCAUAAUAUAUAACUUUACCAAGAACCUCCAAUCAAAGAUUCCCUGGCCAAGUUCGCAGGGGUUGACGGUAUUAAAGUGAAGGAGUUUCAUUUUGAUUAUUGUAAUGUAGUGUUCUUUAGUGAAACAUAUCACCUUUUUAACACUUAAAUGCGCCUCCAACGGUUCAUCACGAACCGGCUGCUGCAGAUGGAGUAUGGCUGAUCAUGUGCAUCAGACAUGCUCGAUAAACUCGGAGGAACCGCCACGGCUCAGUAGAGUCUAUUACUAAGCAAUAGUUCAAAGUCGGUUGGAUUUGAGAAGGUUUUGAUGAUCGUUACAAAUCCUAAUAAAAGUAUUAUAAGAUUUGUGACAGGUUUUGGAACCUUUUACAGCCAGCUGACUUCAAAAUGUUGUUUGGGCUCUAUUUCUCACGUUUCUCGGUUGAUUUUGAUUAGUAAUUUAUUAAUGUCAUAGUCGCUUUUUCGAUUUUUUACCAUGUUAGUUGGUCAUAUUUUCUAUAAAUAAUGCAAUUAAAAUCAACCGACGAAUUAAUAGUGGGAAGGAGAUUUGCAGCACUUAAUUGUGCUGAUAGAUUCGAAGCUAACGUGCGAACAUUUAAACGCAUUGUUGACAUCAAUGCGUUCGACGUGACAUUUUGGACAAAAGCUGACUACUUUUUAUUAACUGAACAACGUUACUUUUGUAUGACUAGGUUGACAUUUCUAGGCCACGCAUGAGAAAAUGACAUAGUUUAUCGAGGUAGGACCGAUAGGACAGAACGAAUUUGAAUAUUUUUCAUAGUAUUUGUAGGGGGUUGAAUACAUAAUACCCAGUCAACACACGAUCGCAUAUGAUGUUGGAUAGGAUGCAAAAGUGGAGGCGAUAUACGCACACUUUACACGCGGUUAAAUGGAAGCAGGUACGCAUAUGGCCUCCACUUUUGCAUCCUAUUCAACAUCAUAUGCGAUCGUGUGUUGAAUGGGUAGUUGACAAGCAAUUUUUGUUUUAUUACAAUCAACUGACCAACUUGGCGUAUUUUUGUUUAUCUCUUAGAUGGUGUUAUGACACCAACAGAAAAAUAUCAGGAGUUCAGUUACAUGUUUCUGUGGGUUUUUCACCGAUGACAAUUUAAGGACACAAGAGAUGAACACAGAGAAGUAGAAAUCAAGAAAACAAUUUGACACAGAAUCGACUAUAUUUUAACAUACGGGUUCGACUGAUUCGAUGAAUCUAUCUAGAAGGAUCUAGAAGACAAUUGACGCUAAGAUUGGAAAAAAAGCUUGCAGUUGGGACUAGACUAAAAUAGUGGCCGAUAGGAAACAAUGCGCCAGACAGCAUUAUUAUUCAUUUUUUAAUAUUUACCCGUAGGCUUUUCGCCGGUUGACAGUACAGUAUUUACCUGUGUGCGAAGAUAUGGAUUAGUUGAUGUACAGAUGACAGGGUUCUCACGGGAAGUGCUUCAAGCGAGGCUUACAUAACAACUGACAAUAAAGAAACCUAUUUUCCUUGACUUUCUACGCAAUUGACAUCCGACCGAACACACGUGUUUCCGUUAAUCUCCUAGGCAUUAUUAAGACAUGACGUAUCUGCAUGACGGAACAACUAGCAGGUUACAGUUCCAGACGUCUCUUUUUAUUAACGACAUUCAGCAUAUUUCCAAUAAAACUACACUUCAAUAAAGCAAAGAUUAAAGCUGCUAUGAUAAAACAAAUCAGAAUUACUUAAUUGACUAUUACCUUGGAGAUCUACUUCGAAUAACUGACAAAUUGACAAGACCAUACUACAACAAACCAAUUGACAUAAAGAAAAAAAGGGGAAACUUUUAUCAAAACUAUUUUUGUUCAACGCAGGCCAAAACAGUGUCGACUUGGGCCACGCAUGCCUACGUACUUCUGUGUGCUGAAACAAAAAUAGAGGCUCUUAGAAGCAAAUGUAGGGAAAGGGUGCGGUGUAGAACAUAAGCACAGUGUUGCUACCGCCGUAAUCACUUUGAAAAAAAAAAAAAAAAAAAACCAAGAA